RNAcentral lists this long non-coding RNA (236 nucleotides) under Vitis vinifera (wine grape). RNAcentral describes it as "long non-coding RNA (VVIN_LNC000140)". The record is from RNAcentral. Lineage: Eukaryota; Viridiplantae; Streptophyta; Magnoliopsida; Vitales; Vitaceae.
AGACAUUCAACACUCGGAGACGAACGAAGAGAUUUAUGGGGUUUUGUCUUUCGUUUUCUGGACUCUGACUUUGGUUCCUCUGCUCAAAUACGUAUUCAUUGUUCUCAAAGCCGACGAUAAUGGUGAAGGAGGGACCUUUGCGCUUUACUCGUUGCUCUGUCGACACGCCCGAGUCAACUCAUUGCCCAAUUGUCAGUCUGCUGAUGAGGAGCUCUCAGAAUACAAGAAGGAUGGUG